GCUACUGUUGUUUUUGCCCAAUCAACAAAAUGACUUUUCAUCGCCUUGUCACUUCAGCUUCCUUUUCUUCUUCAAGAUGCAUACACACUCCUGAGAGAACAUUAAUUUCAACUUUUCCUUACCAGCCCUCAUUUAGAUUACCCCAUUUCAUCUUCUACCUUCCUGAUCAAUCCGACUCUCCCUCUCUAUCCCUUUCUUCUUGAUCUUCUGCAUAUUCAGGGACUCCCCCAACCAGGUACACUGUUACUUUAUCCUUCAUCGUUUCUUUUGCUACCGUAUGCGCAAGACUGUUAACUGUUCUUGGGACAUAUUCAAAUCUGCAUUCAUUGAGUUUUGAUAGUAGCUUAUGAAUAUCGCUAAUGUAAGCACAUACCUGUGAUUUAUCUGGGAUACUUGACUUGCACUUUUUUAUUAUCGGUAAUGAGUCUCCUUCGAUAAUGAUUUAUUCCCAUUUCCUUUCUAUGUCGAUUUUGGUCACUUUCCGGCACGCGAGCGCCUCGGCCGCAAAGGCUGAUGUCACUUGUUGAUAGAUCUUCGAGCAUGAUAAAAGAACCUUGCCUUCAUUGUCUCUAGCCACAAUCCCCACAGUCGCUUGAUUAUACUUUCCAUCGUAGGCUGCAUCAAAGUUGAUCUUCAUGAACUGGUCAGGUGGCUUCCUCCACUUUCUAAUAAUUAUAGAAGACUGUGACCUCUUUUUUGUCGAUCUCGUUCAACUCUGAUAUAUAGCUAUUAACAAAUAUGCCUAAUGCUUUUCCAGAUUUACUCACUUUUUUGUGCACUCAGUCAUUUCUAUCUCCCCAAAUUGCCCACAAUGCACAGUAGAAUAUCCUACAUUGUGAUGCUGAGUUCUUCGCAAAUACCCAGGUUAGCCACUGUAUAAACUCCAACUGACUUUCUUGCAAAAAAACUUUGCAUGGUAAUUCCCUCCAUACUGAAAUUGAAAUAGGGCAUUCACAGAAAAGAUGGUCCAUGUUCUCUGAUCCAACUCCAAAGCGUGGACAUAUUGUUAUGUUUGUUAGCUUUUUUUGAAGCAUAUUAACUCGUAUAGCUAGGAAAUUCCAUGAUAUCUUCCAAAUUGUAAUUUUGAUUUUUGAAGGAAGGUUCAGGAGCCAUAAUUUUUUGUAAAAUUCCUUAUAGUCAUCUUGUAAAGCGUAAGCUCUAGGAUCAUCUUCAAUACUCUGUAAUAGUUUAUAGGCUCUUCGCACUGUGAAUUCGCCCGACGCCUCUACACUCCAAACCCGAAAAUCAUCAUGAGGUUUUUCUGCCAAUGGGAUGCCAAUAAUCUUCUCAGCUACAUCCUCUGGAAAGGUAGAAAUUAUCAACUCUUUUUUCCAUGUUCUGUUACUUUGAUUAAUUAAAUCGGCAACUUUAAAAUCAUUCAAAUUUGUAUUUAAAGCUAAUAACCUGCUCUUUUUCACAUCUGGGAUCCAAAAGUCAUUGCUAACUGAAAUAUGUGUUCCCUUUUCCACUUUCCAACACAGACCUUCCUCUACAGUGCCCUUUGUAGCCCAAAUACUUUUUCAUGUAUACGAAGCAUUGUUCCCCAAUCGUAAGUCUAAGAAAUUAACAUUUGGGAAAUAUUUUGCUUUUAAAACUUGAGCUAAUAAGGAAUCUAGAUUGUUCAAGAUUCUCCAUCCCUGUUUGGCUAAUAGUGAGACAUUAAAUUUAGCCAUAUCUCUAAAGCCCAAACCAUCUUCUACUUUUGAUCAUCACAAAUAUUUCCAUUGACACCAAUGAAUUCCUCUUCUCCCGUGGGCUUUUUGCCACCAGAAUUUAGCAAAAAUGCUUUCUAUAUCUCUGGAUAAUGACUUUGGCGAUAAGAAACAAGACAUAGCAUAGGUUAGAAUAGCUUGUAGUACUGACUUUAAAAAUACUUCCUUGCCUCCUUGCGAUAACAUUCUGGUACUCCAUCCUUCAAUUUUGCUAUGUAUUUUCUCUUUGAGAUGCUGAGAUACUGAAAAGAUUCUUCUUUCCAUCUGCCAACCACAUUCGGGAGACCUAAAUAUCUUUCCAUAUUUGUUGAGGUAUUUAUCCCCAGAAUUGCUGAGACUUUUUCUUUUUUUUCUUCUGUAGUGUUCGUGCUGAAAAAAAUUGUAGAUUUAUUGAAAUUUAUACAUUGGCCAGAACACUUUCCAUACAUCUUCAAUAUUUCUUUUAGCACAUUUGCCCCCUUGACUGAUGCGUCCCCAAACAGAAUACAAACAGAAUACAAUCAUCUGCAAAAAGUAAGUGUGAAAUUUCUAGGCCUCUUCUACUUGCUUUUGCACCUCUCAACGAUCCUUCCUUCAUUGCCAAUCUCAUCAACGGUGAUAAUCCCUCGCUGCACAUUAAAAAUAGAAAAGGGCUUAGAGGAUCUCCCUGUCGCAAUCCUCUUGUCGACUUAAAGCUUCGUCCACUUCUUCCAUUUGUAUUGACUACAUAGGACGUUGUAGAUAUACAUUUCAUAACCAGCUCCACCCAUUCCUUUGCAAAACCCAUUCUUAACAUGACUUCUUUUAUAUAGCCCCAUUCUACCCUAUCAUAAACUUUACUCAUAUCAAGCUUUACUGCCAUGUAUCCUUUUUUUCCCUGCGCUUUUGUCGAAAUGUAUGCAAAAUCUCAUAUGUAAGAAGCACAUUGUUUGUAAUUAACCUUCUUGGGACGAACGCACUUUGAGUUACAUUAAUACAUCUUCUAAUACCUACUUGUAGUCGACUUGCAAUUAUUUUCGCCACCAUUUUAUAAAGAACUGAGCACAAACUAAUGGGUCUAAAAUUAGUUAGGCUAGUGGGAUUAGGAAUUUUUGGAAUCAACACGAUCUCUGUUUGAUUAAAAUGUCUAAAAUUUUCCCCAUUAAUUUGAAUUCCCAAACAAAAGUUAGUAAUUUUCUUUCUUACAAUGUGCCAAUACUUCUGAAAGAAAAUUGCUAGAAAACCAUCACUGAUGCUUUAGUGGGUCCCAUUCCUUUCAGAGCCUCAUAGACUUCUUCUGCUGUAUAUUUUGACAUCAGAACUCUGUUAAUUUUUUCCAGAAUAUUACUUUCAAUGCCCGUUAGAAGAUAAGAAAGGUCUCUUACUCCAUUUGACGUGAAUAACUUUUGAAAGUACAUAAUAGCAACUUCAUUAAUCUCACUAACUUCGGUAACCUCUCCUCCUCUAUUAAGUUCUAACUUUGAUAUGGUAUUAAUGUUUCUUCGAUAUGUGGCAAACCUAUGAAAGAAAGUCGAAUUCCUAUCUCCUGCUUUAAGCCAAUUUACUCUUGCCCUUUGUUCCUAGUAAACUUCAUCUUUAUCAAUUUUUAUAUUCAGGUGGAUUUGGGUAUCGAUGACUUUUGCCAUUGUUUCGUCAGUCUUUUCUUGCGCCAUUAACGUAUCAAGUUACUUUGUAAGCUUUUUCUUCAAUCCUUCUCUCUAUUCUUUUAUUGAUUUUGCCCAUAUUUUUAAGUCUGCUUGUAGUCUUUCGAGUUUUUCAGCAACUGCACCUAUUCCUAACUCCCAAGAUUCUUUAACUACUUCCUCAAUCAUUUCCUCCAUGAGCCACCAUGCCUUAAAUUUAAAUUUUGAAUUGCCCUUAUAAGAAUUUCCACGUUUUGUGUUUAUAAGAAGUGGGCAAUAGUCAGACAUUGAGUGUGUUAGGUGUUUGAUGUUACUUGUUGAAAAUAGCUGCCUCCAUUUGUCAUUUUCCACUCCCCUGUCAAGUCUUUCUUUAAUGUUUAUCUCAGCAAAUUUCCUUUUUCCCAAGUAAACCAAACCCCCAAAUAUCCCAAGUCUUCUAGUAGGUAUUCUUCUAAAGCCUCUCGAAAGGCCUUUAUUUUACUCUCUUCCCUAGGUACACCUCCACAUUUUUCGUAAGAUUACAUGAUCUCAUUAAAAUCACCACUUACCAACCAUGGAUGACUUCUGUCUUGCCCUAAUUUCUUUAGCAGAUUCUACGUAGCACUCCUAUUAUUACCAUACGGCGAACCAUAGAACCCCGUGAACCUCCAUUCUGCUUCAUCAUUGCCUUCUUUAACCAUAAUAUCAAUAUGAUUCCUAGAAUAACUUUGUAAGCUUAUUCUAGUGUCUCCUUUCCAUGCUAAACAUAGUCCUUCUCGAGAACCCUCUGCUUCAAUAUCAAUUCCAUUAAUAAAACCGCAUCUCCUUGUGACUUUUUCCAUGCGUUGCUUAUCUAGCUUUGUCUUCAUUAAGAAGACCAUCUGGGGAUUGUACUGCUUUAGGAAAAAACACAGCCUCCUUACUGCCCGUGGACUCCCCAAUCCAUGAACAUCACUUCUGAGAAGGUUCUAUCACAGCCCUUAACAUCAUCUUUUUUCAAUCUUUUAGUUCCGUCCACCUCAACAUCUCCCUUGUCACUCAUUGUGAGAUCUCUUUCUAGGGACUUCCUCUUUCCCAUACUAUUCUCAGCCUUUGUUUGUAUCAUUGUGGCCAUUGGUUUCAUUUUUUUCAGCUCGUUUUCUUUUCAUGGUUUACGUUUUUACACUCUUGUACCUUGCUGCCAUUUGCCUUCUCAGCCUCCUCUAACCCAAAUAUGCUUCCCUGCUCCUUUAUCAUCUCCUUCCCUCCCAUCAAUUCCAUAUACUCCUGUACUUCUCGAAUCUCAUUAUUCUAUUUUUCUAUUAUUUUAGAAUUUCUUUUCAACACUAUUUUGCCUCCUAAUUAAGAGCUUUGAACCCCCACCUUCUUCGUCAUAGCAUUAAGUUUCAUAUUUUCUUUUCCAACUAAUUUUGAUUCUGUUUUUAAAGCCAACGAAUAAGGUGGAUCAAUACUAAUUUUGCUUUUUCUUACAGGUAUUAUUUGAGUGCAAUUUGUUAUCCCGUGCCCCAUUCUUCCACAUCCAAAACAAAAUAUCAGUAGAUUCUCAUACUUAAAAGGAAUACCAUGUUUUAUUAACAUUAAUACUAGAGACAAAAAUACCUCGGCGUAGUGGUUUCCGAACAUCCAAAUUGAUUGAGUCAACAGCAAGCAUCGUUAAUUUCAAAUCUGAUAACCCCCUAAACGUAACACCAAUUGUAUGUAGGAGAUCCUUCUUAUCAAAUUCUGGUAAAUACGAAUCAAUUUUUAUCUAAAACGGUGAAGAAUUUAGACUAAUUUGAUCUCUUUCCAUCGUUUGAACUAACAUAUUGAAUAAAAUAAUACUUUUACGGAAAAGCCAAGGUCUCCCCUCCAUAAUUGACUCCAGAUUUUCUUCCAAAUCAAACACUAUCAAAAAUAGAUUUUGCCCCACCCGCUAGAUCUCAAACUUUUUCCUUGUCUUCUAUAUACUUUUCAUUUGUACCCUAAAGCUUUCUGGGUUGUAAAGCUUUUCUGUCCAAACCGUGCAUAUCAGCGUUGGUUUAGAAUUUGGUACCACCAUCGACCCCUUGACUGAUAAUUGGAUGAGUUCUUCUGCUAGGAGAAAGAUCUCAUCCCUUCCUUCUCUAUCCUCACCACCGCUUUCUUCCAUCCUAAGCUGCAGUAGUUACUGCUUUCUCUAGGACUCUACGUAAAGCACUCUUGGGAGCAGAGAGAGAUUUUUACAAUAUUGUAUAAGAUUAGAAUCUUGUAUUAAAU
Molecule: long non-coding RNA, 5527 nt
Filed under: Gossypium barbadense (sea-island cotton)
Lineage: Eukaryota; Viridiplantae; Streptophyta; Magnoliopsida; Malvales; Malvaceae
Description: long non-coding RNA (GBAR_LNC014093)
Source: RNAcentral